CCUACGGGAGGCAGCAGUGAGGAAUAUUGGUCAAUGGACGCAAGCCUGAACCAGCCAUGCCGCGUGCAGGAAGACGGCUCUAUGAGUUGUAAACUGCUUUUGUACGAGGGUAAACGCAGAUACGCGUAUCUGUCUGAAAGUAUCGUACGAAUAAGGAUCGGCUAACUCCGUGCCAGCAGCCGCGGUAAUACGGAGGAUUCAAGCGUUAUCCGGAUUUAUUGGGUUUAAAGGGUGCGUAGGCGGUCGGAUAAGUUAGAGGUGAAAUCCCGAGGCUCAACUUCGGAAUUGCCUCUGAUACUGUUCGGCUAGAGAGUAGUUGAGGUAGGUGGAAUGUAUGGUGUAGCGGUGAAAUGCUUAGAGAUCAUACAGAACACCGAUUGCGAAGGCAGCUUACCAAGCUACUACUGACGUUGAGGCACGAAAGCGUGGGGAGCAAACAGGAUUAGAUACCCCAGUAGUC
This 460-nucleotide ribosomal RNA is filed under the name uncultured bacterium. RNAcentral describes it as "partial 16S ribosomal RNA". It matches the Rfam family "Bacterial small subunit ribosomal RNA", at positions 338 to 795 of the family's 1533-position model. The record is from RNAcentral.